UAACUCUGGUGUCUCCUCAUUUGCGGAUAAAUCUCUCGCCUUUUACUAAAGAUUUUCGUGGUAGGCAUUAUACAAUGAGUCUUGCCUCAUUUUUUUCAGCUCUGCCUUCGGACGGAGU
This 118-nucleotide small nuclear RNA is filed under the name Trichobilharzia regenti. RNAcentral describes it as "U5 spliceosomal RNA". It matches the Rfam family "U5 spliceosomal RNA". Rfam says of the family: U5 RNA is a component of both types of known spliceosome. The precise function of this molecule is unknown, though it is known that the 5' loop is required for splice site selection and p220 binding, and that both the 3' stem-loop and the Sm site are important for Sm protein binding and cap methylation. Lineage: Eukaryota; Metazoa; Platyhelminthes; Trematoda; Strigeidida; Schistosomatidae. The record is from Rfam by way of RNAcentral.